AUUGAACGCUGGCGGCAUGCUUUACACAUGCAAGUCGGACGCGUGGCGAACGGGUGAGUAACAUAUCGGAACGUACUGAGUAAUGGGGUAUAACUAAUCGAAAGAUUAGCUAAUACCGCAUAUUAUUCGAUCGGCCGAUAUCUGAUUGGCUGGUUGGUGGUGUAUAGGCCUACCAAGGCGACGAUCCGUAGCGGGUCUGAGAGGAUGAUCCGCCACACGGGGAGUGAGACACGGCCCAGAAGCCUACGGGAGGCAGCAGUGGGGAAUGUUGGACAAGGGGCGCAAGCCUGAUCCAGCCAUGCCGCGUGUCUGAAGAAGGCCUUCGGGUUGUAAAGGACGUUUGUGAGGGAAUCGGUACCUGAAGAAUAAGCACCGGCUAACUACGUGCCAGCAGCCGCGGUAAUAC
Molecule: ribosomal RNA, 406 nt
Filed under: uncultured bacterium
Lineage: Bacteria
Description: partial 16S ribosomal RNA
Rfam family: Bacterial small subunit ribosomal RNA
Source: RNAcentral